RNAcentral lists this long non-coding RNA (581 nucleotides) under Heterocephalus glaber (naked mole-rat). RNAcentral's name for it is "lncRNA (ENSHGLG00000035325.1)". Lineage: Eukaryota; Metazoa; Chordata; Mammalia; Rodentia; Bathyergidae. The record is from RNAcentral.
CUUUCCUGUAGGUCGGUGCGCUGCUGGCGGGGGCUGCUGAGAGCAAGGUUGAGAGCUGGAACCAGGAGGGGCCGCGAAUAAAGAGUCUGGAGCAGAGGGGUCCCGGCCUCGCCCGCCCAAAUUGGGUCCAGGAAUCGGCUGGACGUGGUGUGCAUGGCAAUAUAUUCCUUCAGAGCCUAGAAGGACUUCAAGGUGACCAAGUCCCAAAAGGAGCCUGCAUCCCUAAGAUUCUGCUAGAAAGAAAGCUACCUUGGGCAAAACCAGAAGCAUUAAUGGAGUAGAAAACUCUGUCAUGCAACUGCACUGACUUUUAGGGUUGUUGAUAACAACAGGUAUCAUUCAUUGCCCCAGCUUGCACAAUAUAUACAAAUGGUUUUUUAAAAAGUGUCCCUGAAACACCAAUACAAUUUUUUUCCGCAUAUUUCCUCUUGCUUGGGGGAUGUCAGCCAUGUUUGCACCGCUCUGGAGAUUUUGGAUGAAAUAGGCUGGCUCCCUCUGGUUUGAGCUUCCUGUAUCUGAAUCUUACAGAUUUAUUAAAGGGGGAAGAGGUCUGGACCAGAGCUUCUCUGAUGAGAAAUUAC